AAGUUGGAAUAGGAGACGCUAAAUAGAGAACGGUUAAGUUUGUUGAGCGUAUUAUAGGAUUAUAGAGAACGCAUUUCUCUUGUAACAGUUUUGUGAAUAAAAGAAUAGAAAACGGUGAUCUUACCUAACCAUUUUAUAUUAUUUACCAUGAUAAAAUAAAAAAUUAAAUUUAUAAUAACUGAUAAAAUAUAAAGCAGUUUUAUAUUUUAUUUUAUUUUAUUUACCAUACAAAAAACAAAAUUUGUUCUCAUUUACCAUUUUAUAUUAUUAUUUACCGUUUUAUAAUAUUAUUUACCAAAAUAUUUACCAUACAAAAAACAAAAUUUGUUCCCAAAAUAGUUGUAUAUGUAACGUAAAUUAAUGAAUUAAUUCUAAUAAGUUUUUCUUUCCUCCUCAAACAAUUGGAAAACAAGACUAUCAAAGUAUAAGUUGGGCGGAAGAAAACUUUAGCAAUUACUUUGACCCACGCAAAACCAAAAGCCAAAAAUAGCUUCGAUUCUCACGCAAAACCAAGGGAAAAACCGUGCACCACCGCACCGGAUCUCCCAUCCUCUACCGUUGCUCCACUAUAAUGCCGCUCCACUGUAUCGCAACCUCCGAUGAACACCGUCAGUCCCACCGCCGUUGUCAAUUCCGAGGUUAAGGGACAUGUUUGCUUACUGCUAGGUGAAACAUCCAACAAUUAAGGUAGAAAAUAUUCAAGUGUUAUCAAGCACAAGUAUGUAUGGAGGAGUUUGACGCAGUUUGGAGAUAGAGUGUUUGAUUGCUCUUGGGAUUAUUAAAUUUCUGGACCUGAUUUGAUGAAGUUAAGUAAGUUGAGCUCUAUUUAUUUUCUUUUUUACGCCUUGUGAUUUUUUCUUCUAUUUUCGUUUGACUUGUUUUGAUUUGACUAAGCUCAAUUAUGAUAUAGAUGACACCAUUUUGCUCAUGUGAGCUUUAAUCUUAUGUCUUUUUUUCUUAACCCUAGUAAACCCCCAAUUGUUGUACUAUUUGGUUUGAGUUUAGGUCUUCUACAGGGUAUAGAAAGUUCUGUUUGUUUUGAAUUUUUUCCUAGAUUGAUUUUCAAGGUCAUGAAAGAUUUUUUUAUUUGGUCAAUUCACUUGGUUUUUCCGAUAUAGAUGCACUCCCAAACGGUUAUGUCUAUCACCUUGGUGAUCAGGUCUGGCUAAAACUGGUUGUUAUACAUAUUCAAUCUUUGCACUUGUGUUUAUGUUGAAACAAUACAUGAUGCUAUUUGUGUCUGCCCAUUUUGGGAACUGUUGGCCGAAACCUAUCCGAACUUCCUAGGUUACAAUAAAAAGCAUCAUACAAAGCCAAUUUACAAUAAAAUUCCAUGACAAGUUAUAUAGCAAAGUAACGUGGCAAGGCAUGCUGUAAAUGAUACUUCUCUUCAAUGUCUUCAAACCAUCAGAAUAUCAGAUACCACAUUCUACUCCCAGAAACUCGUCCCUGAACCCUCUUCCAUCAUCAACUUUUCUUCUUCCUCAUCAUACCCAAGUCCCCAACUAAGAAGAUUCGCAGCAUAAGGCGAGCUCGACAAUACCUCAAAGGCCCUUGUCGCUGGAUUUAUUAGUAGCAACUCUUCUUCUUCAUUCCUGACUAAUUAACAUUUUUAUUUGGUGUAUAUUCCCAUUAUUUACUGUUACAUUUAUGACUCUUACAUUUUAACUUGUCUUGUAGUUUUUUAACAAAGCACCCACGUACUCUAAAAAUACGAUUGACGAGCUAAGGGAGAGAUGGAUCUAAUACGUUACCGAAUAUCACCAACCAAAUUACGAAGAUGAUGAUAAUGAUGAUCUAGUGUGAGUUGGGCUAGCUCAAGGAGAUGGUUACCUAUCUAUUUUUUUUAUUGACAUUGGAAAGAAUUUUGAUUUUUGUUGUCGUACCUUGCAUACUCAUGAUCUAGUGUGACUUAAGCUAGCUGAGAUGGUUGUUGCAGAGUCUGUUCCUGCUGCAGACGAUGUUGCUGCAGACGAUGUUGUUGCUGCUGUUACGGUCCUGUUACGCUGCUGUGACGCUGCUGAUACUCGGUUGUACCUGCUGCAGACUCUGUUGUACCUGCUGCAGGGGCUGCUGUUGCUGGAGAAUUUGAUCGCUGUUGCUGUUGAGUUUUUUAUUUUUUUUAUUUUUACAGUGAUAUUGGAUUUCUAUUUUUGCCGUACCUUGUGUAGAUUUUUUUUUUCCGUACCUUGUGUAGAUCAUUUAUUUUGUUAUUGAAUGAAUGAAUAAUAUUAUUUUGUUAUUGAAUGAAAGGAUUUUUGGAAA
Molecule: long non-coding RNA, 2265 nt
Organism: Spinacia oleracea (spinach)
Lineage: Eukaryota; Viridiplantae; Streptophyta; Magnoliopsida; Caryophyllales; Amaranthaceae
Exons: 3
Source: RefSeq, a predicted model, not a curated record